AUGAACCCCAGCGCCCCCAGCUACCCCAUGGCCUCGCUCUACGUGGGGGACCUCCACCCCGACGUGACCGAGGCGAUGCUCUAAGCUCAGCGUGGCCGGGCCUAUCCUCUCCAUCCGGGUCUGUAGGGACCUGAUUACCUGCCGCUGCUUGGGCUACGAGUAUGUGAACUUCCAGCAGCCAGCGGAUGUGGAGUGCGCUUUGCUUUGGACACCAUGAAUUUUGAUUUUAUAAACGGGAAGCCAGUACGCAUCAUGUGGUCUCAGUGUGAACCAUCACUUCGCAAAAGUCGAGUGGGCAACAUAUUCAUUAAAAAUCUGGACAAAUCCAUUGAUAAUAAAACACUGUAUGAUACAUUUUCUGCUUUUUGUAACAUCGUUACA
This 381-nucleotide long non-coding RNA is filed under the name Homo sapiens (human). Its description in RNAcentral is "non-protein coding lnc-PLCH1-4:1". Lineage: Eukaryota; Metazoa; Chordata; Mammalia; Primates; Hominidae. The record is from RNAcentral.